Molecule: ribosomal RNA, 440 nt
Filed under: uncultured bacterium
Lineage: Bacteria
Description: partial 16S ribosomal RNA
Rfam family: Bacterial small subunit ribosomal RNA
Source: RNAcentral
CCUACGGGUGGCAGCAGUGGGGAAUAUUGCACAAUGGGGGAAACCCUGAUGCAGCGACGCCGCGUGAGCGAAGAAGUAUUUCGGUAUGUAAAGCCCUAUCAGCAGGGAAGAAAAUGACGGUACCUGAGUAAGAAGCACCGGCUAAAUACGUGCCAGCAGCCGCGGUAAUACGUAUGGAGCAAGCGUUAUCCAGAUUUACUGGGCGUAAAGGGUGCGUAGGCGGGCUGCCAAGUCAGAUGUGAAAUACCGGGGCUCAACCACGGGACUGCAUUGGAAACUGGCAGGCUGGAGUGUCGGAGAGGCAGGCGGAAUUCUUGGUGUAGCGGUGAAAUGCGUAGAUAUUAGGAGGAACACCAGUGGCGAAGGCGGCCUGCUGGACGGUGACUGACGCUGAGGCUCGAAAGCGUGGGGAGCAAACAGGAUUAGAUACCCUGGUAGUC